RNAcentral lists this unclassified non-coding RNA (264 nucleotides) under uncultured fungus. RNAcentral describes it as "partial contains small subunit ribosomal RNA, internal transcribed spacer 1, and 5.8S ribosomal RNA". The stretch from base 1 to 73 matches the Rfam family "Eukaryotic small subunit ribosomal RNA", at positions 1759 to 1831 of the family's 1831-position model. Lineage: Eukaryota; Fungi. The record is from RNAcentral.
UCAAACUUGGUCAUUUAGAGGAAGUAAAAGUCGUAACAAGGUUUCCGUAGGUGAACCUGCGGAAGGAUCAUUACCGAGUGAGGGUUUUUUUUCAAAGCCCGACCUCCCAACCCUUUGUCUAUUGAACCUUUUUUACUGAAGACGUCGUCUGACUCUCGGGUCAAACGACCGAUUCUUUAAACUCUUUUACCUAGUUAAAAAUCUUAACUAUCUAAAACUUUCAACAACGGAUCUCUUGGUUCUGGCAUCGAUGAAGAACGCAGC